This is a small nuclear RNA of Lynx canadensis (Canada lynx), 108 nucleotides long. Lineage: Eukaryota; Metazoa; Chordata; Mammalia; Carnivora; Felidae. The record is from Ensembl.
GUGCUCCCUUUGGUAGCACAUAUACUAAAAUUGGAACAAUACAGAGAAAAUUAGUACAUCCCCUGUGCAAGGAUGACAUACAAAUAAAGAUAAUGAAUUAUGGUCUUU